This 87-nucleotide ribosomal RNA is filed under the name Paenibacillus sp. JJ-223. Lineage: Bacteria; Bacillati; Bacillota; Bacilli; Caryophanales; Paenibacillaceae. The record is from RNAcentral.
ACACGUUCCCAUCCCGAACACGACCGUUAAGCCCUCUAGCGCCGAUGGUACUUGGACCGCAGGGUCCUGGGAGAGUAGGAAGCCGCC